CCUACGGGAGGCAGCAGUAAAGAAUCUUCCGCAAUGGGCGAAAGCCUGACGGAGCAACACUGCGUGGUGGAUGAAGGCCUUCGGGUCGUAAACACCUUUUCUGGGGGAAGAAGUUCUGACGGUACCCCAGGAAUAAGCGACGGCUAAUUACGUGCCAGCAGCCGCGGUAAUACGUAAGUCGCAAGCGUUAUCCGGAAUUAUUGGGCGUAAAGCGUCCGUAGGCGGUUUUAUAAGUCUGUGGUUAAAUCCCAGGGCUCAACCCUGGAAUCGUCAUGGAAACUAUAAAACUUGAGGUGUGCAGGGGCAGAUGGAAUUCCAGAAGUAGGGGUAAAAUCCGUAGAUCUCUGGAGGAACACCAAACGCGAAGGCAUUCUGCUGGGCACCACCUGACGCUGAGGGACGAAAGCGUGGGUAGCGAACGGGAUUAGAUACCCCGGUAGUCCACGCCGUAAACGAUGGAUACUUGGUAUUGGAGGCUUCGACCCCUUCGGUGCCUAAGCUAACGCAUUAAGUAUCCCGCCUGGGUAGUACGGUCGCAAGAUUAAAACUCAAAGGAAUUGACGG
RNAcentral lists this ribosomal RNA (564 nucleotides) under uncultured marine bacterium. RNAcentral's name for it is "bacterial SSU rRNA". It matches the Rfam family "Bacterial small subunit ribosomal RNA", at positions 338 to 916 of the family's 1533-position model. The record is from RNAcentral.